CAGGACGACGGCAUGGAACCUAUUGAGAACCUCGGAAUCGAAAAAACAGCGUGCUUGGUCUUCUGCUGCACGCCUCCGAGAAACAUGAAAACGAUAGUGGCACCAGAUGGACUCGACUGUAGCAAUGACCUCACCGGACUACUAGACAUGAGAUGCAUAAACGGCAUGUGCAAGCAGCUCAGGUGAUCAUCCUACGUGGGAUACAGGAAUCGCGCUUUCCUUGGAACAACAUAAGACGUUUAUCGCUAAUUCGAAAAAUGAAAGCUUUGGAUAUACCGCAACAAAAUUACUCUGACUUUCCGUGUAUCAUCGUAUAAUUAAGGACGCCCCAAAUAAACAGCGAUUUGAGUCUAUUAUCGCAA
Molecule: long non-coding RNA, 362 nt
Organism: Rhipicephalus sanguineus (brown dog tick)
Lineage: Eukaryota; Metazoa; Arthropoda; Arachnida; Ixodida; Ixodidae
Exons: 3
Source: RefSeq, a predicted model, not a curated record